GAUGAACGCUGGCGGCGUGCCUAACACAUGCAAGUCGAACGGAGAUUACGGACGGAAGUUUUCCGAUGGAAGCCUGUAAUUCUUAGUGGCGGACGGGUGAGUAACGCGUGGGCAACCUGCCUUAUACAGGGGGAUAGCAGCUGGUAACGGCUGGUAAGACCGCAUAAGUCGGUUAAAUCGCAUGAUUUGAUCGGGAAAUGAGCAAUCAGGUAUAGGAUGGGCCGGAGUCCGAUUAGCAAGUUGGCAGGGUAAAAGCCUACCAAAGCGACGAUCGGUAGACGGGCUGAGAGGUCGGGCGGACACAUUGAGGCGGGGACGCGGCCGGGAAUCCUACGGAAGGCGGGAGAGGGGGAUAUAGCAAAAUGGAGGGAACGCUGAAGCAGCGACGCCGGGUAAGUGAAGAAGUAUGGCAGUAAGUAAAGCUCUAUCAGCAGGGAAGAUGAUGACGGUACCUGACUAAGAAGCCCCGGCUAACUACGUG
Molecule: ribosomal RNA, 481 nt
Filed under: uncultured bacterium
Lineage: Bacteria
Description: partial 16S ribosomal RNA
Rfam family: Bacterial small subunit ribosomal RNA
Source: RNAcentral